Long non-coding RNA from Gossypium arboreum, 744 nucleotides. RefSeq lists it as uncharacterized. The transcript has 2 exons. The record is from RefSeq and is a predicted model, not a curated record. NCBI's taxonomy places the organism in Eukaryota, Viridiplantae, Streptophyta, Magnoliopsida, Malvales, Malvaceae.
CAGUACAACGAAGAGGGACUUUCCAUGAAAUUUACCAUUCCAGGCUCAAAGGCAGAAGACCGGGGCUCCAGGCGGGUUAACACGCGGACCCUGCCCCCUCCUAUGCGGCGCCGUUUAGAUCUGCUGCUAAACUCCUUUUUUCAAUUGUUUUUUAACCUAAAACAUCAUUCCUUUUCCCCUUUUGAAAUAAAUUAUGCUAUCAGCCCCUUAUUUUAGGGUUUCAUUUAGCCUAUCACCGCCGAAAAUGAAGCUCUUAGAACUCCAAAGCCAGUUUGCAGCCUCAAGACCACUCCUCAAACUUCAGUUUAGCGAAGCAAAGAAGAACCCGUGGCGAAUUUGCAAGAGCUGGGCGUACGGAGAAGAAGACCCCGGGUGAUGUGGAGGCUGGGCGGAAGGGUCUCUCGUGUGAGACCAACUUUCUGGUGCCUCUCUAGCUUGUUCCAGACUCUUCUGGAAUUCACAAGAAGCUGAAACAAUUUUGGGUAUGUUGGGCUUCGGGUUUUGGGCUUAUUUAGGCUAAUUUUAUUUGGAUUUUGGAAAUUUAGAAUUUGGGUCAGAGUUUUGGGGUAUUUGGUUAAAAAAAAUAGGUUUAUUUUAUUUUGGCCCAAAUAUUUGUAUUGGACUUUUAAUUUUGGAUUUUUAUUAUUUUUGUUUUAUUCUGGUUUUGGGUCUUGAUGUAAGCCCGGGCAAAAAUGGGCCAUUACAACGACCACAAUAUGAAACUUACCCUCAACCUUCCCUAAA